Molecule: ribosomal RNA, 489 nt
Filed under: uncultured bacterium
Lineage: Bacteria
Description: partial 16S ribosomal RNA
Rfam family: Bacterial small subunit ribosomal RNA
Source: RNAcentral
AAUCAACGCUGGCGGCGUGCCUAACACAUGCAAGUCGGGCGAGAAAAGGGGAGCAAUCCCCUGAGUACAGCGGCGCACGGGUGAGUAACACGUGGGUAAUCUGCCCUGGAGUGGGGAAUAACACCGGGAAACCGGUGCUAAUACCGCAUACGAUCACAGAGUCUGCGGAUUGUGAGAGGAAAGGAGCAAUUCGCUCUAGGAGGAGCCCGCGGCUGAUUAGCUAGUUGGUGAGGUAAUGGCUCACCAAGGCAACGAUCAGUAUCCGGUCUGAGAGGACGGUCGGACACACUGGAACUGAGACACGGUCCAGACUCCUACGGGAGGCAGCAGUGGGGAAUUUUUGGCAAUGGGGGCAACCCUGACCAAGCAACGCCGCGUGGGUGAUGAAGUCUCUUGGGACGUAAAACCCUUUCGACGGGGACGAAACCGCAAGGUUGACGGUACCCGUAGAAGAAGCCCCGGCUAACUCCGUGCCAGCCGCCGCGGUAA